This 255-nucleotide ribosomal RNA is filed under the name uncultured bacterium. RNAcentral's name for it is "partial 16S ribosomal RNA". It matches the Rfam family "Bacterial small subunit ribosomal RNA", at positions 28 to 292 of the family's 1533-position model. The record is from RNAcentral.
GAUGAACGCUGGCGGCGUGCCUAACACAUGCAAGUCGAACGGGUGCCUUCGGGCAUUAGUGGCGCACGGGUGAGUAACACGUGGUUGAUCUACCCCAAAGUAGGGGAUAACGUUCCGAAGGAAUAGCUAAUACCCUAUAAGCUCCCGGUCGUUUAGAAGACUGGGAGAAAGUUACCGGCGCUUUGGGAGGAGACUGCGAACCAUCAGCUAGUUGGUGAGGUAAAGGCUUACCAAGGCGACGACGGUUAGGGGACC